Molecule: ribosomal RNA, 253 nt
Filed under: uncultured bacterium
Lineage: Bacteria
Description: partial 16S ribosomal RNA
Rfam family: Bacterial small subunit ribosomal RNA
Source: RNAcentral
UACGGAGGGUGCAAGCGUUAAUCGGAAUUACUGGGCGUAAAGCGCACGCAGGCGGUCUGUUAAGUCAGAUGUGAAAUCCCCGGGCUUAACCUGGGAACUGCAUUUGAAACUGGCAGGCUUGAGUCUUGUAGAGGGGCGUAGAAUUCCAGGUGUAGCGGUGAAAUGCGUAGAGAUCUGGAGGAAUACCGGUGGCGAAGGCGGCCCCCUGGACAAAGACUGACGCUCAGGUGCGAAAGCGUGGGGAGCAAACAGG